RNAcentral lists this ribosomal RNA (1212 nucleotides) under metagenome. RNAcentral's name for it is "bacterial SSU rRNA". It matches the Rfam family "Archaeal small subunit ribosomal RNA", at positions 232 to 1445 of the family's 1478-position model. The record is from RNAcentral.
GUAGUGGGUGUAGCGUACCUACUAGCCUACGACGGGUACGGGUUGUGAGAGCAAGAGCCCGGAGAUGGAUUCUGAGACACGAAUCCAGGCCCUACGGGGUGCAGCAGGCGCGAAAACUUUACAAUGCCGGCAUCGGCGAUAAGGGAACCUCGAGUGCCAGGUUACAAAUCUGGCUGUCGUGAUGCCUAAAUAGCAUUGCAUAGCAAGGGCCGGGCAGGACCGGAGCCAGCCGCCGCGGUAACACCGGCGGCUCGAGUGGUAACCGUUAUUAUUGGGUCUAAAGGGUCUGUAGCCGGCCGGAUAAGUCUCUUGGGAAAUCUGACCGCUUAACUGUCAGGCUUUCAGGAGAUACUGUCUGGCUCGAGGCCGGGAGAGGUGAGAGGUACUUCAGGGGUAGGGGUGAAAUCUUGUAAUCCUUGAUGGACCACCAGUGGCGAAGGCGUCUCACCAGAACGGACCUGACGGCAAGGGACGAAAGCUAGGGGCACGAACCGGAUUAGAUACCCGGGUAGUCCUAGCCGUAAACGAUACUCACUAGGUGUCGGCCACGGCGCGACCGUGGUCGGUGCCGUAGGGAAGCCGUGAAGCGAGCCACCUGGGAAGUACGGCCGCAAGGCUGAAACUUAAAGGAAUUGGCGGGGGAGCACCACAACGGGUGGAGCUUGCGGUUUAAUUGGAUUCAACGCCGGAAAUCUUACCGGGACCGACAGCAAUAUGAAGGCCAGGCUGAAGACUUUGCCGGAUUAGCUGAGAGGUGGUGCAUGGCCGUCGUCAGUUCGUACUGUGAAGCAUCCUGUUAAGUCAGGCAACGAGCGAGACCCACGCCCACAGUUGCCAGCGUACUCUCCGGAGUGAUGGGUACACUGUGGGGACCGCCGCUGCUAAAGCGGAGGAAGGAAUGGGCAACGGUAGGUCAGUAUGCCCCGAAUAUCCCGGGCUACACGCGAGCUACAAUGGUUGGUACAAUGGGCAUCUACCCCGAAAGGGGAUGGCAAUCUCCUAAAACCAAUCUUAGUCCGGAUUGAGGGCUGCAACUCGCCCUCAUGAAGCUGGAAUCCGUAGUAAUCGCGUUUCAACAGAACGCGGUGAAUACGUCCCUGCUCCUUGCACACACCGCCCGUCAAACCACCCGAGUAGGGUCUGAAUGAGAGCGCUUCCUCUGGAGGCGUUCGAAUUUGGGCUUUGCAAGGGGGGUUAAGUCGUAACAAGGUA